RNAcentral lists this ribosomal RNA (478 nucleotides) under uncultured bacterium. RNAcentral's name for it is "partial 16S ribosomal RNA". It matches the Rfam family "Bacterial small subunit ribosomal RNA", at positions 28 to 507 of the family's 1533-position model. The record is from RNAcentral.
GAUUAACGCUGGCGGCGUGCAUAACACAUGCAAGUCGAACGAUGAAACUCAUUAGAUUUCUUCGGAAUGAAAAUGAAUGGCUUAGUGGCGACCGGGUGAGUAACGCGUGAGUAACCUGCCUUACACAAGGGGAUAGCCUCUGGAAACGGAGAAUAAUACCCUAUGAAACCAGACAAUCGCAUGAUAAUCUGGUCAAAAUGUUUAGUGGUGUAAGAUGGACUUGCGUCUGAUUAGCUAGUUGGUGAGAUAAAAGCUCACCAAGGCAACGAUCAGUAGCCGGCUUGAGAGAGUGUACGGCCACAUUGGGACUGAGACACGGCCCAGACUCCUACGGGAGGCAGCAGUGGGGAAUUUUGAACAAUGGGGGAAACCUUGAGGUAGCGACGCCGCGUGAUUUAGAAGGCCUUCGGGUUGUAAAAAUCUUUUGUAUAGGAAGAACAUGACAGUACUAUACGAAUAAGGUCCGGCUAAUUACGUG